This 403-nucleotide ribosomal RNA is filed under the name Verrucomicrobiota bacterium. RNAcentral describes it as "Verrucomicrobia bacterium partial 16S ribosomal RNA". It matches the Rfam family "Bacterial small subunit ribosomal RNA", at positions 355 to 776 of the family's 1533-position model. Lineage: Bacteria; Pseudomonadati; Verrucomicrobiota. The record is from RNAcentral.
UGGGGAAUAUUGCACAAUGGGGGAAACCCUGAUGCAGCGACGCCGCGUGAGCGAAGAAGGUUUUCGAAUCGUAAAGCUCUGUCCUAUGAGAAGAUAAUGACGGUAUCAUAGGAGGAAGCCCCGGCUAAAUACGUGCCAGCAGCCGCGGUAAUACGUAUGGGGCGAGCGUUGUCCGGAAUUAUUGGGCGUAAAGGGUACGUAGGCGGUCUAUUAAGUCAGGUGUGAAAGCGUGAGGCUUAACCUCAUUAAGCACUUGAAACUGAUAGACUUGAGUGAAGGAGAGGAAAGUGGAAUUCCUAGUGUAGCGGUGAAAUGCGUAGAUAUUAGGAGGAAUACCGGUGGCGAAGGCGACUUUCUGGACUUAUACUGACGCUCAGGUACGAAAGCGUGGGGAGCAAACAGG